Molecule: ribosomal RNA, 253 nt
Filed under: uncultured bacterium
Lineage: Bacteria
Description: partial 16S ribosomal RNA
Rfam family: Bacterial small subunit ribosomal RNA
Source: RNAcentral
UACAGAGGGUGCAAGCGUUAAUCGGAAUUACUGGGCGUAAAGCGUGCGUAGACGGUCAUGUAAGUCGGGUGUGAAAGCCCCGGGCUCAACCUGGGAAUUGCAUUCGAGACUGCAUGGCUAGGAUGCGGAAGAGGGAAGCGGAAUUUCCGGUGUAGCGGUGAAAUGCGUAGAUAUCGGAAGGAACACCAGUGGCGAAAGCGGCUUCCUGGUCCAGCACCGACGUUCAGGCACGAAAGCGUGGGGAGCAAACAGG